Molecule: long non-coding RNA, 884 nt
Organism: Fundulus heteroclitus (mummichog)
Lineage: Eukaryota; Metazoa; Chordata; Actinopteri; Cyprinodontiformes; Fundulidae
Exons: 3
Source: RefSeq, a predicted model, not a curated record
AAACACACCUCCAAAGAUAAAUUGAGUUAUUUGUCCUUAAAGGGGAUCCAAACAGACCCGUGGUUCCUUGGUGGGAUGGCGAGGGCGCAGGAGCUGCAGGCGUGAGGAGAAACCCCGCAGACGAAGGAUCCUGGGUCAUCUACCUCCAAGCCGGUCCGGCCCGACAAAUAUAGCCUGGGUGCUUUCCCUCUGGUGCUCUGCCGCACCGGGAGAAAUAAAUCUGUCCAGGAACCGCCAAGUGCAGAAGGGAGAGGCACGGGGGAAACAAAGGGGGAGUGGGCUCAACGGGAGAGAGCUGAGGUGAAAGGAAAAACAAAGGCAGGGGUUUGGUUCUGCUGCGCUCAUGGCGUGCAGAUGGAGGUAACGCCGCGUCCAAAUGGUUGGGGAGCGCGUCCCAAAAUUGUUGUGGUAACCUCAUCCCACAGCAACCAUGUAUGGACCGAAGGGAGCAGGCGUGAUGGAAGAGCAGCUGCCAUAAAUAGCCAGGAAGUAUCGGACCUCCAGCGCAGGAGGGAUCCAAUCAGCUGUUCCGGACAACACGUUUCUCCUUCCAGGCGUCUGCUGGUUCGCAGAAAGCAGGAGGACAACAGCGACUGUGGCGUUAGUGUGGAGACAGGUGGAAAGGCCUCAGUACUGAAAACCGAUUUGGAUAUGAAGCAGCUGGGAUGGAGGGACAGCUGGAAGCGAAUGGCGAACAGUCAGACUGAGGCGACUGCCAAUGUGUGUCAGUCUUUUCCCAAAUCAGAAAAAGGCAGACCAGAAAACAAAGUGGGGAUUAUUUAUGCACGUUUCAACAACCCAAAUAUUGGUGGCAAAGAUCAACUAAGUCUUCAAUAUAACUGCUCUGUCACACUUCAGCAAAAAUAAACCCUAGAGCGAAACAA